This 253-nucleotide ribosomal RNA is filed under the name uncultured bacterium. Its description in RNAcentral is "partial 16S ribosomal RNA". It matches the Rfam family "Bacterial small subunit ribosomal RNA", at positions 524 to 776 of the family's 1533-position model. The record is from RNAcentral.
UACGUAGGGUGCAAGCGUUACUCGGAAUUACUGGGCGUAAAGCGUGCGUAGGUGGUGAGUUAAGUCUGUCGUGAAAGCCCCGGGCUCAACCUGGGAAUGGCGAUGGAUACUGGCUCGCUAGAGUGCGGUAGAGGAGAGUGGAAUUCCCGGUGUAGCAGUGAAAUGCGUAGAGAUCGGGAGGAACAUCAGUUGCGAAGGCGGCUCUCUGGACCAGCACUGACACUGAGGCACGAAAGUGUGGGGAGCAAACAGG